UGAGCUGUGGAUAGCGGAGAAAUUCCAAUCGAACUCGGAGAUAGCUGGUUCUCCUCGAAAUAGCUUUAGGGCUAGCGUCGGGUAAUUGAGUAGUGGAGGUAGAGCACUGAAUGGGCUAGGGGCUGACAACAGUUACUGAACCCUAUCAAACUCCGAAUGCCAUAUACUUGUACCCCGGCAGUCAGACUACGAAUGAUAAGAUCCGUGGUCAAAAGGGAAACAGCCCAGACCAUCAGCUAAGGUCCCAAAGUGUAAGUUAAGUGGGAAAGGAUGUGGGAUUUCUAAGACAACUAGGAUGUUGGCUUAGAAGCAGCCACUCAUUUAAAGAGUGCGUAAUAGCUCACUAGUCGAGAGAUCCUGCGCCGAAGAUGUAACGGGGCUCAAACUUACCACCGAAGCUAUGGAUGUGUACUUUGUACACGUGGUAGAGGAGCUUUCUGUACAGGUUGAAGUCAUACCGUAAGGAGUGGUGGACAGUACAGAAGUGAGAAUGCUGGCAUAAGUAGCGAAAAACAAGUGAGAAUCUUGUUGACCGAAUAUCUAAGGUUUCCUGGGGAAGGCGCGGCCUCCCAGGGUUAGUCGGGACCUAAGCCGAGGCCGAAAGGCGUAGGUGAUGGACAACUGGUUGAUAUUCCAGUACCACCAUAAUGCG
RNAcentral lists this ribosomal RNA (652 nucleotides) under Clostridium botulinum D/C. Its description in RNAcentral is "partial 23S ribosomal RNA". It matches the Rfam family "Bacterial large subunit ribosomal RNA", at positions 805 to 1456 of the family's 2925-position model. Lineage: Bacteria; Bacillati; Bacillota; Clostridia; Eubacteriales; Clostridiaceae. The record is from RNAcentral.